CAGUCGCCACGGGAAUACGAAGGGGGCUAGCGUUAAUCGGAAUUACUGGGCGUAAAGCGUGCGUAGGCGGUGAGUUAAGUCUGCUGUGAAAUCCCCGGGCUCAACCUGGGAAUGGCAGUGGAUACUGGCUCGCUAGAGUGUGUCAGAGGAUGGUGGAAUUCCCGGUGUAGCGGUGAAAUGCGUAGAGAUCGGGAGGAACAUCAGUGGCGAAGGCGGCCAUCUGGGACAACACUGACGCUGAGGCACGAAAGCGUGGGGAGCAAACAGGAUUAGAUACCCCCGUAGUCCCUGUCUCUUAUAC
RNAcentral lists this ribosomal RNA (301 nucleotides) under uncultured bacterium. Its description in RNAcentral is "partial 16S ribosomal RNA". It matches the Rfam family "Bacterial small subunit ribosomal RNA", at positions 509 to 807 of the family's 1533-position model. The record is from RNAcentral.